UCUACUCAACCUCCAGUUUUUUAAACGCACUCCGCACUCCUUACGUGGCGAACUCGGUCUAGAGCCACAUCACGGUUUUUUCACCCAAUUUCAAAUCAGUCAGUGGAACCAGCGUCAUUCUCCUCAGACCAUCUUCGAACGCUCUCCCUUAGUCCUCCUCCCUCUCACGAUGCCGUUCGGCUCUCCCUCAGACCAUCUCCGAUCUCUUGCUCAACUCCUCCCUCUCAGAUGCGUCGGCUUCUUCUUCUUCUAUCUCACCCCUUCUGUCUCACCCGAACCCUAGAAAAUUUCUUCUCCAGCUAGAACCACGAACACACGGCGAGAAAAUUUCUUCAGCACGCCGAGAAAAUUUAUUCACCACUCGCAGAGAAAAUUUCCUCUUCUUCUCCCUCUCUCUCUCUCUCACCCAUUCUCUUCUCUCUCACCGAUCUCUCACCCCUUCUCUUCUCUCUCACCGAUCUGUCAGCCCUGCGCUCCCAUUCACCCCUUCUUUCCGAAAGCCCCAAGCCGGUAGACCGAUUCGUCCAAGGUAUGUUUUUUAGUUGUUUUUUCAAUUCGCAUUGCCAAAUCGCUGUCUCCACCGUACAUGCCUACAUUGGAUCCCAAUCUUAAGUAAAAAUAUGUCUAGGAAGCUGGAUUGAAAUGGCUAGGUCUGCUCAUUUGUUUGGUUUUGUAUAAAAUGGGUUGACUUGAUGUGCUGAGAGAAUGUUAGCAAAUUUUUGUUAAUUUCUUCACAUUGUAUUUUUUUUUCGGGAAUUUCUUCUCAUGUAAUUUUUCUGUUUCGAUGUAGACUUUGUCUCAUGUAAUUUUUCUGUUAUGCUACGUGUUGUGUUGCUUUAUGUGGAUAUAAUAUUGCAUUUCUGGAAGUAAGGUUGGCAACAUCUUAGGAGUAUUUUGUGGCCUUGCCAAUAUACAUGUGUUGUGAAUUUGGGAGUUGGUGUGGGUUUGGAGUAGAAAUUUUGACGUAUGCCAUUUCCUCUGAAGUUCCUAUAUUUGCUAGUGUUUUGGUAUAGUAAUGUUAGAAGUCCUGGAAUUAAUGCUUUGUGUUGAUAUUUGGAAUUGAUCCUGGAAUUUGACCCGAGUAGAAAAUUUUUAACUAGUUUUCAGGUUAAGUUCUUAUACUUGAUAGUGUGGAUUUGAGGUAUAUGUUUGUGGACAACCCUGUUAUAAUAGGGAAGUCAACAAACGUAUUACUACCCUACUGCCCCAUUCUUUAUUUGGGGAUGAAUGUUUCUAUUGCUAAAGCAGGAAACAUCGUUCUUAUUCACAUCGUUUAUUUUUCAAGAUAUUGUUGGUAUUCAGUUCUAUAUAACUUGAUUAUUUUUUUUUUUGGGUAUGCGAAAGCAGGAAUGGAGUAAGGUUGGCAAUGGCAUGUGCUUUGAUUCCCAGAAUGCAAUACAAUUACCUUGUUGGUAGCAUUUUAAAUCUGUUUUUGCUUGUUAGCAUUUUAUAGUUUUAUCUACUACACCCAUCGGUAUUUAUACAUGUUCUCUUUAAAAAAUUAUGUAACACUUAUGUGAACAAAGUGUUGCACCCAGAUUUAUACUUGCCUCGUGGUUUAUAUGAUGCUCGAGUUGUUUAAAUCAUUAUUUAUAUUCUGUUUUAUAUAAUGCUUCUAUCUUGCAAUAAUUAUGAAAAUGAAUCCUAACCAUUAAUAAUUCUGUUUUGCACUUAAAAAGUAGUCAAUGCUACCUUAUUGCUUAAUAUUUUUGUCAAGUAAAUUACUAUGAUCAUCAUGUAGAUCAACUAUGGCAUCAAGUCAAUCAUCAUCCACUGUAGUUAAUGAUGUUGAAAUUGAAUCACCGAAUUGUUGGUGUGGGUUGAAAUCGCCAUUAAAGAUCUCCCACACCCACAAAAAUCCUGGAAGGAAAUUUUAUGCUUGUCCGAAUUAUUACACGGGAGAACCAAGAUGUCAAUUCUUCAUUUGGGAAGAUAUAUUUCAAUCAGUAGUACGUGAGAAUGUAAACAAGACAAGAGAGAAUGAACUUCGGAAGAGAGAGGAUGCUUUACUGUUGCGUGAAUAUGAAGCUCAAAAAGAAAAGGAUAGACUACUGGACAGAGAGCACAUGGUUAACAAGCAAGAGGGCGAACUGGGAAGAAGGAUAUUAGAGAAUAGGAUUGGCCGUAUUCUGUUGUGUAUAUUUUGGAUUUUAUCUCUUGUAAAAUCUUGGUUCUAAAUGUUCAUGUAUCGAAUUAGUUUUAGAUGUAAAUGACAUUAUCUUAUCCUAAGCCAGAUGUACAAUUAUGACAACUUGGUGUGGAUAUUAAUUUUGCAUGACACUCCGUAAGGUUGGCAAGAUUUUUGGACUAUUGUAUUGCCUUGCCAAGAUUUUGUACUUGUCAGUAUCAUCUUGCUUUGUAAUAUCCACUGAUUUUGAGUUGUUUUAUGCAUUUACAUGCCUACAUUUACACUUUGUAUGCAUGUCAUGUGCUUUGCCAAUUGAA
Carya illinoinensis is the source of this 2445-nucleotide long non-coding RNA. RefSeq lists it as uncharacterized. The record is from RefSeq and is a predicted model, not a curated record. Lineage: Eukaryota; Viridiplantae; Streptophyta; Magnoliopsida; Fagales; Juglandaceae. The transcript has 2 exons.